AUCAAGAGGCUUGCAGAGAGAAUCGAUGUGGUGAAGAGAGAAGCCAUGGCUGAUGGCUCUGUUGUUCUUGAGCUUGUUUAUUUUGUACUGGUCCAAACAGAGCCUAACAGAGAUUGUUUGUGUUUAAUGAGUGCUCGAUUUCUAACUCGGUGGUGUCGUUCUUCUGCAACGAUAAGUGAAGGCGGUUUAUACAGUAUUAAAAAGAAAUAAAGGUUGUUGCAAGUAAAGGUAGCUAUAGACCGCUAUGUUGGAGUCGACAAAUCCAAACACAGGAAAAGAAUAUUGUCUUGACAUGAUAUUCAUGGAUUAUAUCAAUAAAUUAAAUGUUAGUGAUGUAUGUUUGUUGGUUAUUAUUUUAUAAUAUUUGUUUUGUUCUUCGGACA
Molecule: long non-coding RNA, 383 nt
Organism: Daucus carota subsp. sativus
Lineage: Eukaryota; Viridiplantae; Streptophyta; Magnoliopsida; Apiales; Apiaceae
Exons: 2
Source: RefSeq, a predicted model, not a curated record